CAAUAGCGUAUAUUAAAGUUGUUGCAGUUAAAAAGCUCGUAGUUGAAUUUCUGGCGGGCGCGCCGGUCUUCCAAGUGUUGUACUGGGCGCAGUCCGCCAUCCUUGUGGAGAGGGCUCGCAUUGAGUUGCGUGUCGGAUCUGCAUCAUUUACUGUGAAAAAAUUAGAGUGUUUAAAGCAGGCUGUCGCUUGAAUACAUUAGCAUGGAAUAAUAAGAUAGGACUUCGGUCUAUUUUGUUGGUUGCGAACCGAGGUAAUGAUUAAUAGGGAUAGUUGGGGGUAUUCAUAUUUAAUUAUCAGAGGUGAAAUUCUUGGAUUUAUGAAAGAUGAACAACUGCGAAAGCAUUUACCAAGGAUGUUUUCAUUAA
RNAcentral lists this ribosomal RNA (366 nucleotides) under uncultured eukaryote. RNAcentral's name for it is "partial 18S ribosomal RNA". It matches the Rfam family "Eukaryotic small subunit ribosomal RNA", at positions 592 to 976 of the family's 1831-position model. The record is from RNAcentral.